This 497-nucleotide ribosomal RNA is filed under the name uncultured bacterium. RNAcentral describes it as "partial 16S ribosomal RNA". It matches the Rfam family "Bacterial small subunit ribosomal RNA", at positions 28 to 507 of the family's 1533-position model. The record is from RNAcentral.
GAUGAACGCUGGCGGCGUGCCUAAUACAUGCAAGUCGAGCGAACAGACGAGGAGCUUGCUCCUUCGACGUUAGCGGCGGACGGGUGAGUAACACGUAGGUAACCUACCUAUAAGACUGGGAUAACUUCGGGAAACCGGAUCUAAUACCGGAUAAUAUUUCGAACCGCAUGGUUCGAUAGUGAAAGAUGGCUUUGCUAUCACUUAUAGAUGGACCUGCGCCGUAUUAGCUAGUUGGUAAGGUAACGGCUUACCAAGGCAACGAUACGUAGCCGACCUGAGAGGGUGAUCGGCCACACUGGAACUGAGACACGGUCCAGACUCCUACGGGAGGCAGCAGUAGGGAAUCUUCCGCAAUGGGCGAAAGCCUGACGGAGCAACGCCGCGUGAGUGAUGAAGGUCUUCGGAUCGUAAAACUCUGUUAUUAGGGAAGAACAGACGUGUAAGAAAAUGUGCACGUCUUGACGGUACCUAAUCAGAAAGCCACGGCUAACUACGUG